AUAACGGUCCUAAGGUAGCGAAAUUCCUUGUCGGGUAAGUUCCGACCCGCACGAAUGGUGUAACGACUUGUGAGCUGUCUCAACAGGGGGCCCGGUGAAAUUGAAGUAUGGGUGAAGAUGCCCAUUACCCGCGACUGGACGGAAAGACCCCGUAGAGCUUUACUGCAGCCUGAUAUUGAGUUUCGGUAACUGAUGCACAGGAUAGGUGGGAGUCUGAGAGACACGGGUUUCGGCUCGUGUGGAGACGAUGUUGGGAUACCACUCUUCGGUUACUGAAAUUCUAACAUAGCUCUGUGAAACCAGAGGAUGGACAGUGUCAGGUGGACAGUUUGACUGGGGCGGUCGCCUCCGAAAGAGUAACGGAGGCGCCCAAAGGUACCCUCAGAAUGGAUGGAAACCAUUCGAAGAGCGCAAAGGCAGAAGGGUGCCUGACUGCGAGAGUGACAACUCGAGCAGAGACGAAAGUCGGGCUUAGUGAUCCGGCGGUAUUGAGUGGAAAAGCCGUCGCUUAACGGAUAAAAGCUACCUCGGGGAUAACAGGCUGAUCUCCCCCAAGAGUCCACAUCGACGGGGAGGUUUGGCACCUCGAUGUCGGCUCAUCGCAUCCUGGGGCUGAAUUCGGUCCCAAGGGUUUGGCUGUUCGCCAAUUAAAGCGGCACGCGAGCUGGGUUCAGAACGUCGUGAGACAGUUCGGUCCCUAUCCAUCGUGGGCGUAGGAGUCAUGAGAGGAGCUGUUCCUAGUACGAGAGGACCGGAAUGGACGCACCACUGGUGCAACUGUUGUCGUGCCAACGGCAUAGCAGGGAAGCGAAGUGCGGAUGGGAUAAACGCUGAAGGCAUCUAAGCGUGAAGCCCACCUCAAGAAUAAGACUCCACAAUAGACCCCUGGAGGACUACCAGGUAGAUAGGUCAUCGGUGGAAGCGCUGUAAGGCGUGUAGCUUGAUGAUACUAAUCGGUCGAAAGCUUCAUUUA
RNAcentral lists this ribosomal RNA (973 nucleotides) under human gut metagenome. RNAcentral's name for it is "bacterial LSU rRNA". It matches the Rfam family "Bacterial large subunit ribosomal RNA", at positions 1942 to 2925 of the family's 2925-position model. The record is from RNAcentral.